UACAGUGCAAUUAAAAAUUUACACUCACGCACCAAGCCAGGUUUAAGUACCAAUGAAACCGAGCCACAAGCACCCCCCCACACACAAACCACCCCGAGAUGUUGCAAGUUAGGGCUGACAGUCCUACUCGACUCCCCACUUGUAGGAAAGGAGGCAGGAGGGGAGGAGACACCCAGACACAGCCCGCACCAGCAGGGCCCAAGUGGAGACGGAAAUGUGAGCCCUCACUUUGUGUGUCCAGGCUUUUGCCUACAGAACACAACUUCAGCUUGUAUCUAUCAUUCUUGCUUGUGAUUUUUAUCAUUUUCGUGUGUCUUCUACCCAAUUCCUUAUUCCACUAGAUUCAAUUUCACUCUCACAGUUAUACUGGGGAGGGGGCGCGAAGGGACAGCUCCUCCGAGAGGAGCGAAAUAGGCCUCUCUGUACAGAUCUACAUCCACAGAUUUGUUGGGAGGGCCUGGAGCCUGCUGCAUCCCGCCAUUUCCCCCCAGCGGUGUAAGUGACUUCCUAAUUGUCGCUCUGGCCUCUGACCCGGGGGGUAAUACAAGUGCCACUCACGCUAGAGGCUUCUGGUGGUAAUUGAGGGCACCCUUUGUACGGUUUCGCCAGCGCUUAGAUACCAGGUUAACCCAGUUGUCAAAUAUGACUAAACAGUGGGAUGUGCUGAUUAUCUGCCGGGUUUUGCUGUGGGCUGGCAUGGGGGUGGGAGGCAUCAGCCCAUACAACACGCUGCACGAAGCCGCUUAUUUUCUCACUGUAACAACUUUGGAAACAGAGACCGGCGCGAGCGGCGUCCGCCCCCACCUCCACCUCCGCUGAAGCUGCAGCUUGCUCGGCUGUUUGUUUAACCCGGUGAAGAUUUGCAUGUCGCGUUUCAUCCUGGAGUGGAGUUUUCUUGUCCCAGCUCCAACCCACUCCCAUUCCAGACCACCAGGGCCUAGAGGCUCGUCCGUAGGGCAAGUGCGCUGUUUUAAGAGGCUGGAAGCAUCCUGAAGUCCUCCCUGGACCUUGUCAGUGUGAAAAGAGGCGUCCUCAAGCAGACCAGGGUGGCGAAAGCACCAAGGAAAUUAUGACAGAGAAAGAGAAGGAACAGAGGAGAAGAGAAAGAGAAGGAACAGAGGAGAAGAGAACGAGAAGGCUCGUGUGGCUGUCAAUGAAAACUGAGACCGGAGCGACCAUGCCAUCUAGAUUUUCUUCCUGGAUUCUGUAGUCGCCCAAACUCAG
Molecule: long non-coding RNA, 1224 nt
Filed under: Homo sapiens (human)
Lineage: Eukaryota; Metazoa; Chordata; Mammalia; Primates; Hominidae
Description: HSALNT0307268
Source: RNAcentral